Molecule: ribosomal RNA, 224 nt
Filed under: uncultured bacterium
Lineage: Bacteria
Description: partial 16S ribosomal RNA
Rfam family: Bacterial small subunit ribosomal RNA
Source: RNAcentral
GAUCAUGGCUCAGGAUGAACGCUGGCGGCGUGCUUAACACAUGCAAGUCGAGCGAAGCACUCUGCUUUGAUUCUUUCGGGAUGAAGAGCAUUGUGACUGAGCGGCGGACGGGUGAGUAACGCGUGGGUAACCUGCCUCAUACGAGGGGGAUAACAGUUAGAAAUGGCUGCUAAUACCGCAUAAGACCACAGCACCGCAUGGUGCGAGGGUAAAACUCCGGUGGU